GAUGAACGCUAGCUACAGGCUUAACACAUGCAAGUCGAAGGGAAACGGCAUUUAGUGCUUGCACCGAAUGGACGUCGACCGGCGCACGGGUGAGUAACGCGUAUCCAACCUACCCAUUACUGUGGGAUAACCUGCCGAAAGGCAGACUAAUACCGCAUAGUCUUCGAUGACGGCAUCAGAUUUGAAGUAAAGAUUUAUCGGUAAUGGAUGGGGAUGCGUCUGAUUAGCUUGUUGGCGGGGUAACAGCCCACCAAGGCAACGAUCAGUAGGGGUUCUGAGAGGAAGGUCCCCCACAUUGGAACUGAGACACGGUCCAAACUCCUACGGGAGGCAGCAGUGAGGAAUAUUGGUCAAUGGGCGCGAGCCUGAACCAGCCAAGUAGCGUGCAGGAUGACGGCCCUAUGGGUUGUAAACUGCUUUUGUAUGGGGAUAAAGUCAAUCACGUGUGAUUGUUUGCAGGUACCAUACGAAUAAGGACCGGCUAAUUCCGUGCCAGCAGCCGCGGUAAUACGGAGGGUCCAGGCGUUAUCCGGAUUUAUUGGGUUUAAAGGGAGCGUAGGCCGGAGAUUAAGUGUGUUGUGAAAUGUAGACGCUCAACGUCUGACUUGCAGCGCAUACUGGUUUCCUUGAGUACGCACAACGUUGGCGGAAUUCGUCGUGUAGCGGUGAAAUGCUUAGAUAUGACGAAGAACUCCGAUUGCGAAGGCAGCUGACGGGAGCGCAACUGACGCUUAAGCUCGAAGGUGCGGGUAUCGAACAGG
Molecule: ribosomal RNA, 761 nt
Filed under: Prevotella melaninogenica
Lineage: Bacteria; Pseudomonadati; Bacteroidota; Bacteroidia; Bacteroidales; Prevotellaceae
Description: bacterial SSU rRNA
Rfam family: Bacterial small subunit ribosomal RNA
Source: RNAcentral